UGGCAAGGGAGGUUUGGGUGGGAAUUCAAGCAACUUAAUCAGGAAUGAGAUACCACAAUCUGCCUUCGAAAACAGCCAAAAAACCUUACAAAAAACCCGACCCUGUGCUAACAACCUCCCCAGGCGCUGGGAGGUGUGGGGCUGGUAGAGCGAGUAACUGCAGCUGAUGAUCACCUGCUUUGAGGACCCAAGGUGCACUGAGAGGGGCUCAGCUUCCCCCUCCCCUGAUCCAGCACUCCCAGUCUUUGUCACAAAUCAUGGUCUCUUUCCCAAGCGCUUUCCUCUUAGGAGGAGUUCUUGCCUCGGUCCUUGGCACACAGGCUCCUGGCAACUUCCUCCCUUGUUUGCUGACUCUGAAUGCUUCCGUAGGCUGUGUGGCCCACUUGGAAGGAAUAUUCAGGGGCAUGAGGUCCAGCAGCUGGUCAGGAAAUGAAGAUGCAUGCCCAGGGAGCUGGUGCAAGGGAAGAGCAGGGAGCGGACCCUGUGUGAUGAGGUGCCGGGAGUGGCCCCAGUUCUGCUGUUCCAGCUGCCCAUCCCCAGGUAGGCACGUGGGCCCCCUCAGGAUGUAUCCCAGGGCGAGGCAGUGCUUUCCUUCACUCUGACUGGCUUUAGGACUGGUCCUGUCCUCUGUCCCAUCUCCUUGCCUCUUGCUCUCCCUUAUUCUGCUAGGACGGUUCUGCCCAUAACUGGUGCCUGGGUCUUGUUCAGACCUGACCUGCAGUGUCACUUCCUCAGGGGGGCCCUCCUGACCCUCACUUCCAAUAUAAAUAAGCACACAAGUGUAGGGGAGUAAAAAUGGCUUUCUCUACCCUUCUAGCUGCCUUGGCUGGUCAGGAAUUAAACUGACAGCAGGGAGAAUAACAGGAGAAAAGGUACAGACAUUUAUCACAUGCAUGGGGGCAUCCCAGGAAAGAAAAGGAAUUCCCCACACCCAGUAAGAUUUAGAAGCUUG
This 952-nucleotide long non-coding RNA is filed under the name Homo sapiens (human). RNAcentral's name for it is "HSALNT0055203". Lineage: Eukaryota; Metazoa; Chordata; Mammalia; Primates; Hominidae. The record is from RNAcentral.